RNAcentral lists this ribosomal RNA (1497 nucleotides) under uncultured bacterium. Its description in RNAcentral is "partial 16S ribosomal RNA". It matches the Rfam family "Bacterial small subunit ribosomal RNA". The record is from RNAcentral.
UAGAGUUUGAUCCUGGCUCAGAACGAACGCUGGCGGCGUGCUUAACACAUGCAAGUCGAACGCGAAAGUUACCUUCGGGUAAUGAGUAGAGUGGCGCACGGGUGAGUAACGCGUAAGUAAUCUACCCUUGUAUUUGGGAUAACCCACCGAAAGGUGUGCUAAUACCGGAUACGUUUAUUUUUACGUAGGUAAGAAUAAAGAAAGAUGGCCUCUUCAUGAAAGCUAUUGUACAAGGAGGAGCUUGCGUACCAUUAGCUAGUUGGCGGGGUAAAAGCCCACCAAGCCUACGACGGAUAGCUGGUCUGAGAGGAUGAUCAGCCACAUUGGAACUGAGACACGGUCCAGACUCCUACGGGAGGCAGCAGUGAGGAAUAUUGCGCAAUGGGCGAAAGCCUGACGCAGCAACGCCGCGUGGAUGAAGAAGUUCUUCGGAAUGUAAAGUCCUUUUGUAGAGGAAGAAUAGCCUGUUUUACGGGUGUGACGGUACUCUGCGAAUAAGCACCGGCUAACUCCGUGCCAGCAGCCGCGGUAAUACGGAGGGUGCAAGCGUUAUCCGGAUUUAUUGGGUUUAAAGGGUGCGCAGGCGGACCAAUUAGUCAGUGGUGAAAUCCCGAGGCUCAACCUCGGAACUGCCAUUGAUACUGUUGGUCUUGAAUACGGUUGAAGUAGGCGGAAUGUAGCAUGUAGCGGUGAAAUGCAUAGAGAUGCUACAGAACACCGAUCGCGAAGGCAGCUUACUAAACCGAUAUUGACGCUCAGGCACGAAAGCGUGGGGAGCGAACAGGAUUAGAUACCCUGGUAGUCCACGCCGUAAACUAUGAUCACUCGUUGUUGGCAAUACACAGUCAGUGACCAAGCGAAAGCGAUAAGUGAUCCACCUGGGGAGUACGAUCGCAAGGUUGAAACUCAAAGGAAUUGACGGGGGCCCGCACAAGCGGUGGAGCAUGUGGUUUAAUUCGAUGAUACGCGAGGAACCUUACCUGGGCUCAAAUGUAAGUUGACAGUUUCUGAAAGGGAAUUUUCUUCGGACAAUUUACAAGGUGCUGCAUGGUUGUCGUCAGCUCGUGCCGUGAGGUGUCGGGUUAAGUCCCAUAACGAGCGCAACCCCUACUCUUAGUUGCCAUCAGAUAAUGCUGGGGACUCUAGGAGAACUGCCUACGCAAGUAGAGAGGAAGGUGGGGAUGACGUCAAAUCAGCACGGCCCUUACGUCCAGGGCUACACACGUGCUACAAUGGCCGGUACAGAGGGCAGCCACCUGGUGACAGGGAGCGAAUCUCUAAAGCCGGUCUCAGUUCGGAUCGAAGUCUGCAACCCGACUUCGUGAAGCUGGAAUCGCUAGUAAUCGCGCAUCAGCCAUGGCGCGGUGAAUACGUUCCCGGGCCUUGUACACACCGCCCGUCAAGCCAUGGAAGCUGGGGGUACCUGAAGUCGGUGACCAUUUAGGAGCCGCCUAGGGUAAAACUAGUGACUGGGGCUAAGUCGUAACAAGGUAACCA